Molecule: unclassified non-coding RNA, 439 nt
Filed under: uncultured Thelephoraceae
Lineage: Eukaryota; Fungi; Basidiomycota; Agaricomycetes; Thelephorales; Thelephoraceae
Description: sequence contains ITS2
Rfam family: 5.8S ribosomal RNA (bases 1-155)
Source: RNAcentral
AACUUUUAGCAACGGAUCACUUGGCUCUCGCAUCGAUGAAGAACGCAGCGAAAUGCGAUAAGUAAUGUGAAUUGCAGAAUUCAGUGAAUCAUCGAAUCGUUGAACGCACCUUGCGCCCUUUGGCUAUUCCGAAGGGCAUGCCUGUUUGAGCAUCAUAAACAUCUCAACUCUCAUGGUUUUCCAUGAGGAGGUUGGACUUUGGGGGUCUUGUUGGCUUGUGUUCCGCUCCCCUCAAAUCUAUCAGCUUUCCAGUGUUUCGCAGCGUCACCGGUUUGAUAAAUAUCUACGCUUGUGGUUCUUUGCCCAGUCUGUCCUCUCCUUGUGGAGGGCUCACUGGAGCUCAUAGAUGUCUCUCCUUGGUGGAGACAGCUGUUUGAAGUUUGGUCUCAAAUCAGGUAGGAUUACCCGCUGAACUUAAGCAUAUCAAUAAGCGGAGGCC